RNAcentral lists this long non-coding RNA (338 nucleotides) under Setaria viridis. Its description in RNAcentral is "long non-coding RNA (SVIR_LNC005415)". Lineage: Eukaryota; Viridiplantae; Streptophyta; Magnoliopsida; Poales; Poaceae. The record is from RNAcentral.
UUCUGUACUUGACUUAGAGAAAUUCAAUGGAGAAGAGGCCGCGGUGAAUGACAAAGAAGGUGGUGAUGAUGUUGAGGGAUGAUUGGAGGGCCCCUCUGCACAAAAGAUGAUGACUUGAAGUUGAUCAAGAUUGGAGGAAACAAAAUUAGAAGUACCCUGACACUACCAAUCUUCUCCAGUGGGAUGCUCAAGAAGCUUCUAAUUGAGUGAUGCAACCAAGGAAGAAAACCGCUUAGAUCAUCGACACAAAGCAUAGGAGUCUCCUCUGAUCCUGGCACCUUGGCUAAAGCAAGAAUUAUGGAGAAGACGCAUCAUUGCCACCAUGCUACUCGCUGGUG